GCGCCCCUAAUCUCUUCAGUCCCUUCACGCCUGAAAAAGUUCAAACAUGUUUUGAAAACAAAUUCUGGAAAAACUGUUUGUUUUCAAAAUAGUAUAUUAUAAUAUCAAACAUAUUUUGGAACCUGGAAUGAGGUUUUUGUUUUCUUGUUCUUUUCAUCUGCUGUUUUCUCCGCACCACGUACUGACUUAUUGGAUAAUUCUUGCAAUGAUUUCUAAUUUUUUGACUGAUAAUAUGGCAGGUUACGAAAAUGAAGCUGAAGGUUGUUAAUCUAGGGUGUAAACCCUGCUACAAGAAGAUCAAGAAACUGCUCUGUAAAUUUCCUGAGAAAUACGAGAUCAGACUUUCAAUGAGAAGGACGACACCGUGAUAAUCAAAGUAGUAUGCUGCUGCCCUGAGAAAAUCAGAACGAAGCUUAUCUGCAAAGGUGGCGAUACCAUCAAGAGUAUCGAGGUUAUACCACCUACACCGCCACCUACACCGCCACCUACACCGCCACCUACUACGCCACCUCCACCGCCAGUGUAUUUAGCAUUCAUCUUUCCAAGUGGGUGUCGCUGUGACAGAAGCUAUGGUUGCCGCUGUGAAAUCGUUAUUGAAGAAAAUCCGAUAUGCACCAUCAUGUGAAUCAUACUCCAUCGUGGUUGUCGUUGUCUGGUGUUUUUAAUUCCUUUUCUCAGUUGGGUGUUGAGUCGGUGAUCAGUUCUUUUGGGUUCUUUUCUCGUCCACAACUUCAAGGCUGUAUAGGCCAAUAAUGUUUGUGGACUAAUAGAUGUUGAUUUCAUCCUUAGAUGCUUAUAAUUCACUUAAAAAAGAUUAUCAAAAGCACCUUUUGUAAGGGCCCUUUUGAAGACACCCUGAA
Vitis riparia (riverbank grape) is the source of this 860-nucleotide RNA transcript. It is a transcript of the gene named sulfated surface glycoprotein 185-like, with no coding region annotated. The transcript is spliced from 2 exons. Lineage: Eukaryota; Viridiplantae; Streptophyta; Magnoliopsida; Vitales; Vitaceae. The record is from RefSeq and is a predicted model, not a curated record.